Molecule: ribosomal RNA, 446 nt
Filed under: uncultured bacterium
Lineage: Bacteria
Description: partial 16S ribosomal RNA
Rfam family: Bacterial small subunit ribosomal RNA
Source: RNAcentral
AGCGAACGCUGGCGGCAAGCUUAACACAUGCAAGUCGAACGCCCCGCAAGGGGAGUGGCAGACGGGUGAGUAACACGUGGGAACGUACCCUUUGGUUCGGAAUAACUUGGGGAAACUCAAGCUAAUACCGGAUGAGCCCUUAUGGGGAAAGGUUUACUGCCGAAGGAUCGGCCCGCGUCUGAUUAGCUAGUUGGUGAGGUAAUGGCUCACCAAGGCGACGAUCAGUAGCUGUCUGAGAGGAUGAUCAGCCACACUGGGACUGAGACACGGCCCAGACUCCUACGGGAGGCAGCAGUGGGGAAUAUUGGACAAUGGGGGCAACCCUGAUCCAGCCAUGCCGCGUGAGUGAUGAAGGCCUUAGGGUUGUAAAGCUCUUUUACCCGGGACGAUAAUGACUGUACCGGGAGAAUAAGCCCCGGCUAACUUCGUGCCAGCAGCCGCAGUAA